RNAcentral lists this transfer RNA (69 nucleotides) under Capra hircus (goat). It matches the Rfam family "tRNA". Rfam says of the family: Transfer RNA (tRNA) molecules are approximately 80 nucleotides in length. Their secondary structure includes four short double-helical elements and three loops (D, anti-codon, and T loops). The record is from Rfam by way of RNAcentral. RNAcentral also lists the same sequence under 1 other name. Lineage: Eukaryota; Metazoa; Chordata; Mammalia; Artiodactyla; Bovidae.
CCUGGUGGCUCAGCUGCUAAAGAACCUGCCUGCAAUGCAGGAGACCCAGGUUCAAUCCCUGGGUCAGGA